CUUCACGCGGCGAGGUGUGCCAGCGUCGCUGUAUUUUCUUGCGGCUCCUCUCCACCGACGGCCAGACCGUGGCCCUCGCAGCACCCUGCUCUGGGACGUCGCCUGCAGAUGAGCAGCAGUAGUAGUACGGCCGAUAUAUCAGCUUCUCCGGACAGGAGUCGACCACAUCUGCUGGGAGCUACCUUGGGAGGGACAGCAGUUUUCAGGUGGAGUGGCUCAGGUGGAGUGGAUUUGGAUUAUACAUUAUUGCUACCAGCGAUCUGAGGAUCGGAGAUUGAAGAAGAUGAAUCAUGUACUGGCAGCUUGGUUGCGUUGUAUGCAGAAACUUUACUUCACAAAGAGCCUUAAGGCAGAAGUUGACCAUAUACCAGCUCCCUAGAUUGUACCAUCCCUGUCCCUAACCCACAGUAAGUUGUUUUUAGAUUGUUGGUCACCUGAAACAGGUAGUACCUUAUGUGACCCUGAAACUAUGUGCUCCUCUUUCGGCUAUCUGGAUUUGAUUCUUGAACAACUUCAGUUAUUUUCAAUGUACACUGCAGAAUUCACUUGAAGAGGCUCAAGAGAACAAAGUCCAAACUGGGAGGGUUCCCUCUGAUUCUGCAUAUAUUCACUUUGAUUCGUAGUAUAACGACUCACAUGAUUAUAUUAGACUGCUACGGACGAGUCUCAACCUGUAUAUAUUCAGGGCCUGCAAACGAGGACCGUCGAUCCAAGGAGGCCAGCACAUAGCAUCAGCGUCAUGGCGGCAAUCAAGUAUUGACUUUGACUUGCAGCUCAAAGAUAAGGCGGCCGCGCUGGCUUCAUGUCCUCUGCCGACAAGUUUGUCGCUGCCUUUGUCAUUGCCCCACCUCCACCGACUCCACCGGGAGGGAAGGGCAACCGAGGAGCCGAGGUGGAAGACGAAGAAUUGAAGAAUCGGUAGAUCAUGCUCUUCCCACUGGUGGCAUGGAUGUCCCAGACAACCUUGGUAUGUCCCUAGCAAUUUUUUAUUUUUAAUUUUUCUUCUCCAAAACUCACAUCAAGUUUUUUGUUUAAAAGAGUUUAGUUCAAAACAAUUAAUCUUUUGAAUAUAAACUUUUAAAUAUGAUUUUUUAUAGUACGUUUCUAUUACACUGGAAACUAGGAAAACACAUUAAUUAAGAAACUAGAUAAUACCUUGAGCGUUGCCGCGGUUAGCCAAAAUAUAACAGUUGAAGAGAUGUGUAUAAGGAAUAAAGGUCAAAGAAAAGUGGAGUGCUUUUGCAUUUUAUAGUGAUGUACACUGCGUCAAUCUUAAGAUCCCGCCUGCAGUCAUUUGGUUUCAGAGGUAAGUGAUCUUUAUCUUAUUGCAAUUAUCUUUUCUCUGUAUAAUAGAUAAUUUUUGUUCUCUCAGUAAUCACCGAGGAAGACUAACUGCAAAGCAGCAUCUUAUCUUGUUGUUAUUCAAGGGGCUACUCUAUGGAAUUAUGAAUUUAUCUUUCCAUACCUUCAUAUAGUAGUCUAGCUCAUGAGUUUUCCUAACAUUUCCUAGAGUAUAAGUUUAGUAAUUUAUAGCUGGGACUAUCCUGCCUUUUAUUGAUGAUCUAGACUGUAAACAUAUCUCCUGGUACUUAAUAGGAGUCUUUACCCUAAAAGCAAUGUCAAGGAUUAUGUGCCAAUCUUCGAUUAAAUCCUAAAAUGAUUUCUUUGGUAGAUUGGAUUGUUCCUAUUCUAGGAUGUACUGAGGAUGUCUUAGGUGGAAAAAAGAAUUGCAAUUGUAUUUAUUCAUCAACUAAUUUGAUCAGUUUUCCUUUCACGUCAUGUGAGAGUUUGCAUUAACACAGCGCUGAUGUUUAUUUCUGUCCAAUUAUAAAAUAUUCAACUUUACGUCACAACAUGAUAUGAACUGUGUGGAGAGCUAUGUGCAAUACCUUUACAAUUGGUUGCUUAAGCAUUACCAAGAAGAGAUGGAAUUCAUGGUCAAGAGUCAUGACAAGGCAGCAAUGGAGCGCCUUGAUCUUGUUUCAUCGACGCCUUUCAAAGGCAUUUCAUAUACAAAGGCUGUGAAAGAUGCAGAUAGGAAGUUCGAGAAUACGGUUCAAUGGGGAAUUGUUUUAGCAUCUGAGCAUGAGAGGUAUUUGACUGAGGUGGUGUUCUAGAAGCUUGCUAUUAUUUUUUAAUUACCCAAAGGAUGAACCCAUUUUAUAUUAGGCUCAAUGAUGACCAAAAGAGAGUCGCUGCUAUGGAUGUUUUUGUUCCCCUUCUGUUUCUUUAUCAUGGCCAUAAUUUGGAUUAUCAUAUUAUUAUUGAUGGUUGUUCCUUUGGUUCUCCUACAAAUAUUGUCUUUAGAUGUAUCGUUAGAUGACAGGCGGUUGUUGCUGCUGCUGCAGGGAUACUACUUUUGCUUCGUCGUGAGUGUGAUUAAUGCUAAAUUCAGCCUAAAUGUUUUGUAUUGAACUGAAUGUUGAAUUCGGCAACACUGUGCCUCCUAAUUUUUGCCCUUACCAUCCAUCCUUUUCCAAUGACAUAACAUUCUUUUGUCCUUUUCACGUAGUGAUUACUAAGUUCUGAUAUUUUUUUGCGGGAAGUUCUGAAAUUUUUAGUAUAAGUGCCAUCAUAAAAGUAUGAUGUUAGAUGCAGUUUUCCCUAAAUUAGGAUCCAAGUUCUAAUGUUUGUUUUCUGAAUUUGGAAAAUUAUCCAAAAGGCUAAAGCAUAUGAGGAAUCUCUGCAUUCUUUCUACCUCUUUCCAUAUACGAGGGCAGAGGAUGUGAGGCAAGUACUGCUAUAUUUUUCUUUAAUGAGUAGUAGCAAUCUGACGGGCUACACAAAAUAAAUGUAGGUAUUAGAAAGGAAACUUGAGUGGGCGUGACACGAGUUAUUUUAGGUGUGGUACACAUCAGUAUAUUAUACAUGCUCGGUAAACCAUUUUAUUCAAGGGAGUAUUUCUAGACUGGAGCGUGUUUUCCUACUGCCUGUGCUGUUUGAUACCACUUCUGUCUAUGCAUAAUCUUUCUUGUGUGUGGAUCUACUGUUAGGCACAGUAGCAAGAACAUAAGGAAAUUUAGCUAUUAUUGGUAAUGAGGGAAUGUGGAGAGAGAUUUCAGCUGCUGUUUAUGUGGUGGCGUGCUUGGCACUUAAGUGCACAUGCGGGACAAGUUUUGUGAUCAUUCGUAACUGUAAUGGAAGUAUUGUCUCAUUGUUAGUUCACUGGUUGAGCUAAAGCUGUCGCUCUUGAAGUGACUAGACAGGCUGCAACCUUCAGCGUCCUCCCAUCAUUCAACUGGGUAUGUUCAGAUAUGUUCCAUUUUGUUACCUUCUACCUAUGUUUCAGCAGCUGCCAGAAAUAAUCAUCUAAUUUUGUCUGCAUUAUCUAAGAAUGCAAGCACAUAUUUUAUAUUCCGAAGGUUUAAUAGAGCAAGCACAAACUUGAUUGCUGUCCAAAAAUAUUACAUAAAUAAAUAUUUCUAGGACAAUUCUUAAGUGUAUUUUUGUAGCUACCAGCUCUUGCAUUAUUGCACAUUCUGCUACAAUACUUUAUGUUAUGUUUGAAACUACUACUUCUAGCAUUGCCUAUCAAUGGUCUCUUGAGCAUGUCUACACGGUGGUCCAGUAACUGUUUUUUCUUGCAGCAUUAUACAUCUCUUCUGCCUCCAGUAGUAAAACACACAUGGUAUGUUCUUUAUUAGAGCUUGCGAAAAAUGCAACUUUUGUUAAAAUGUAAUUGUUUAAGAGGAUUUUUCAAGCAACAUAACAGAAGACCGCAAGGCAAAUCUGGAGAAAUAACUUCGUAAUUAUUUACGUACUCAGUUUCUAUUUUACGUAAAGCACGGUGAAUCAUUCUUGUGAUGGUACUUUGGGCCCUCGGUCCUGACCGUGAAAUUGACUACGACGGGGAUGAUUAUAGUGUGCCUGCGAGGUUGCCUCUAAUAUGAAACCAGGCCCAAACUAUGUUGAGCCUAACAUACCUCGCUGGAGUGAUUUGUGUAGUGUGUGAAUCUUAAGAUGAGGUUAGAUGCUGCCCAACAAGAACUUGGAUAGGGACAUCGGUGUGAUGUCAAUCUGCAAAUCGUUAAUAAAGCCUUGUAAUUUUGCAGUGUAGGGUUGAUAUAUACGGUUUUUUUCUCACCAUUGGUGAACCCAAGGAGCACCGAUAUGUUCAUGGAAUCUUCAGCUGCAGCUGAUCUGAGGUACCAUCCAUUUAGCCGAGGUACCAUGGAUGCAAGGUGGAGCGGGAGGAGAAUUUGUGCACCAGCCGUGGUCUCCUUGAUGUUGCACUCAUUAUAUGGAGAACAAAAAAAUGUAUUAAAGAAAUCACGGUGGUGCAUUUGUUCUGAGUAUCUAACAUGAUCAUUGAGUAUGCAUUAAUUCA
This is a long non-coding RNA of Lolium rigidum, 4327 nucleotides long. RefSeq lists it as uncharacterized. The record is from RefSeq and is a predicted model, not a curated record. The transcript has 4 exons. NCBI's taxonomy places the organism in Eukaryota, Viridiplantae, Streptophyta, Magnoliopsida, Poales, Poaceae.